This 445-nucleotide ribosomal RNA is filed under the name uncultured bacterium. Its description in RNAcentral is "partial 16S ribosomal RNA". It matches the Rfam family "Bacterial small subunit ribosomal RNA", at positions 330 to 792 of the family's 1533-position model. The record is from RNAcentral.
UCCAGACUCCUACGGGAGGCAGCAGUGGGGAAUAUUGCACAAUGGGGGAAACCCUGAUGCAGCGACGCCGCGUGAGUGAAGAAGUAUUUCGGUAUGUAAAGCUCUAUCAGCAGGGAAGAAAAUGACGGUACCUGACUAAGAAGCCCCGGCUAACUACGUGCCAGCAGCCGCGGUAAUACGUAGGGGGCAAGCGUUAUCCGGAUUUACUGGGUGUAAAGGGAGCGUAGACGGCAUGGCAAGUCAGAUGUGAAAGCCUGGGGCUCAACCCCGGGACUGCAUUUGAAACUGUCAGGCUGGAGUGCAGGAGAGGUAAGUGGAAUUCCUAGUGUAGCGGUGAAAUGCGUAGAUAUUAGGAGGAACACCAGUGGCGAAGGCGGCUUACUGGACUGUAACUGACGUUGAGGCUCGAAAGCGUGGGGAGCAAACAGGAUUAGAUACCCGAGUA